AAACCAACAGGGAUUGCCUCAGUAACGGCGAGUGAAGCGGCAAAAGCUCAAAUUUGAAAUCCCCCCGGGGAGUUGUAAUUUGAAGAUUGCGUCUUGGAGGCGACCGUGUCUAUGUUCCUUGGAACAGGACGUCACAGAGGGUGAGAAUCCCGUGCGGCACGGCCCCCGGCUCCUUAUAAGGCGCUCUCGACGAGUCGAGUUGUUUGGGAAUGCAGCUCAAAGUGGGUGGUAAAUUCCAUCUAAAGCUAAAUACAGGCGAGAGACCGAUAGCGAACAAGUACAGUGAUGGAAAGAUGAAAAGCACUUUGAAAAGAGAGUGAAACAGCACGUGAAAUUGUUGAAAGGGAAGGGCAUGCCGUCAGAUUGUCAGUGUGGGUAAGAAGCGGGGUACAAAGACUGUGGAACGUGGCCCUCGGGUGUUAUAGCCGCAGUUCAUGCCCCGUCUC
Molecule: ribosomal RNA, 446 nt
Filed under: Kodamaea ohmeri
Lineage: Eukaryota; Fungi; Ascomycota; Pichiomycetes; Serinales; Debaryomycetaceae
Description: LSU rRNA
Rfam family: Eukaryotic large subunit ribosomal RNA
Source: RNAcentral